GAUGAAGAACGUAGCGAAAUGCGAUACUUGGUGUGAAUUGCAGAAUCCCGUGAACCAUCGAGUCUUUGAACGCAAGUUGCGCCCGAAGCCAUUAGGCCGAGGGCACGCCUGCCUGGGCGUCACACGUCGUUGCCCCCCCAUCUACUCCUUCGGGAUUGCGGGGGGCGGAUGAUGGCCUCCCGUGCGCCUCGUCGCGCGGUUGGCAUAAAUGCCAAGUCCUCGGCGACGCACGCCACGACAAUCGGUGGUUGCGAAACCUCGGUUGCCCGUCGUGUGCGGUCGUCGCGCAUCGAGGGCUCGAAAAAAUUGUCGGGCUCCGGCUCGGCUUUCAACGCGACCCCAGGUCAGGCGGGGUUACCCGCUGAAUUUAAGCAUAUCAUAAGCGGAGGA
Molecule: unclassified non-coding RNA, 390 nt
Filed under: soil metagenome
Description: partial contains 5.8S ribosomal RNA, internal transcribed spacer 2, and large subunit ribosomal RNA
Rfam family: 5.8S ribosomal RNA (bases 1-122)
Source: RNAcentral